This is a long non-coding RNA of Brassica rapa (field mustard), 2843 nucleotides long. RefSeq lists it as uncharacterized. The record is from RefSeq and is a predicted model, not a curated record. NCBI's taxonomy places the organism in Eukaryota, Viridiplantae, Streptophyta, Magnoliopsida, Brassicales, Brassicaceae.
AAGCAAAUAUACAGUAUAAGAAAUAUAAAUAUUACAUUAAACAUCUAUCGUAAUAUUAUCAUUUGAUUUAAAAACAAGAAAAUUAGAAUAAAUAAAUAUACAAUAUUGAAAAAUUCCCUUGGAUAGCCAUUUUUAAGUUUUUGCUACAAAAUAGCUAUAAAUGAGAAAAAUAAUCAAAAUAAGUCUUAUUAAAGAGUAAAAAUACAUUUAUACCCUAUGGUUAACUAACAUAGACUUAUGGUUUAGAGUUAAGGGGUGGGAUUUUGAGGAUAGGAUUUCAAAUUUUUAAAAAUAAAAAUUAAAAAAUUAAAUUUUUUAAAAUAAAAGAGACUAUUUUGGUCACUUUCUUUAUUGAAUACUAUUUUGUGACAAAAAACUUAAAAGAUCUAUUUGAGAGAAUUGUCUUACAAUAUAAGAAAAAAAAAUAAUAAGUAAAUAUACAAUAUAAGAAAGGAAAAACUAUAUCAAACAUCUAUCUAAAAAAUGUAUAGUUUUCUGAUUUUUUCUAAAGAAAUAUGUAUUCACACAUACAUACAAUUCAGAAUUUGUUGUUGUUCAGAAUACAACGUUCAAAAAAAUAACUAUAUGGUUAACAUUUGAAAAUGAAAAUAGCCCCGCACGUAGCGCGGAUUAACUCCUAGUCUUUAUAUAUAAAAGAUGUUUUGCUCUCUCCUGAGGCUGCCACCUAGGAUUCCACUUAGGAAAGUCGCUUCACGAGGAGUCAACACGUGUCCGCCUGCUCGAAACACAGCGUUUCAUUAAAGGAAUCAGCGAUCCAUAUGGGCUAAGUUUGUGUGUGGGCUUUUUUUAAUUUGGCACAAGAAAAGCAGCCCGAUAGCAGUCAACCCUAAUAGCACAAUGUUCAUCUCCGUUCUUUGUUCUUCGUCAUCUGAUCUUCUUUUUCAUCGACCAAAAACGUUACCAGUUACAGAUUCGUCUCAUUAAACCUCUUCUUAACUCCAUCAACCACGAUCUGGUCUUGAAUGUGAACUUCUCUUCUCCGAGGCGGUGUCACUGCGAAUAUAAAAAGUUAAGCCUUCCUCUUAUCAAAACCAUCUUCUCGAUCUGUUGAACCAACAAAGUAAAGUUAUUUUCACAUAAAUGGCUAACUCGAAAGUUCUUAUUUCUCAUUUGAAAUCUGGUAAAUUUUCUUCUCCGGUUGAGGUUAGGUUGAUGCGUUGACUUCCUCUGCCUAGCAAAGGGAAACAUGAACGGUUAGUGGCUACACUCAGUCAAUUCGUCUGGACUUCUUCUUAAAUCGUUAUGGGCGUCAAUAUGCUUCUCCUUGAAGCCAAGGUUGCUCCGGCGAUUUAGAAAACAAACUCAAGUUUUUUUCUGUAAGAUUUACAAGUAACGUGAUCUUAAUUAAUUUGUGAUCUUAGUCAUACGAUGUUUGCUUCUUCAUUUUGUUAAGCUCCUCGGUCUUUUUAAUCUGACAAUGGCUCGAACAAAUGCAGAUGAUGAUUUAAAGUCAAAGUCUUUACAAGCUGAGUUUGGCGAAAAGAGGAGCUUUGGUCGCGGUUUCUGUAUUACAGUCAAGAGAUUGCAACAUAUAAAAAAAUUACUAAUGCUCUGCUUCAUAGAAGGUAUGAAGCUACAUAUGGAGAAAUUCAAUGAUGGUAUUGUACUAAGAUAAAGGCUCCUUAGUAUAUUGAAACGAGAGUCUAUAGUGGGGACAUGUAAAGUUCCUAUGUUAUAAAUACCAUUUGAGUCAAAUAUCAUAUGUAAAUUUUUUCCUUGAGUCGAUUUUAGUUUUCAACAAUGUUUUUGUUUUAAAAAAUAGAUUAUUGUAUGAUAGUUUUAAGCAAUCUGCAGGAUAUUACUGAAGAAAACAAAUCUCAUCCAUGCCCAACAGAGUGGUUAUUCCGUGUUGAUAUUGUUAAUAAAUGGAAAGAGUCUAACGGUUUCAGUGCUGCCCAAAUGUUUAGAGAAUAUCAAGAUGUCUGAUACGGCCUUACUGGUGAGAAGAGCAUUGUCUUUAAGCCAAUAUACUUUGUUUAUGGAUCUUCAAUAGAUUCUUUUGUGAAAAGGGGGAUUAGAAGUCUUUUGGUUCAAUGGAAAAUUAGCUCAGCAGUCCAGUGAGAAAGUGUUGAAGGAUGCAAUGAAACCAUCACAAAACAGUAAGUAAAUUGAUAAGUUUCUGACAAAAAACUGUGAAUCAAGAAUAAAAUUAAAUAACUGUAUGAUAAUAUGACGUAUCAGGUUCUGCUUAUGUCUAUGAAAGCUGGCGUCGAACUGAAUCUAACCGCUUCUUCACACGUCUUCUUAACGGUACAGUUUAUCUUUACGAUUACGUUUAAGUUCUUCUUGAUCAUGAAGAGUUGAUGACAUAAUAUGAAAAUUAAUAGCGUAGGGCAGAAAAGAAUGGCAUGUGAAAGAAGCUUCAUUGUUAAAACCAGGUCACCUUCUACACUCCUGGGCGUGACAAGUCAGAUAAUAGGAAAACAAAAGCUUGCUACAUGUCUCUCUAAGGUAGUUUUGUUUCUUCCUGAAUUGGUCUAAACAAGCAGAAGAAGGCUAAGGGAAACCGGAACAUUAUCUUCUGGUUGGACACAGAAGCGCUUGGAAUGCAUUGGAUCGUUUGGUGCAAGAAAAGUUUAUGUAUAAGAAACCAGAGGAGAAGAAGGUGGUCAAGUAAAGUGAUGGAAGAUCUAACUCCAUUAAUGGAGCUAUAAUAGGAGGAAGCUUUAUGCUUGGAUCAACAAGUCUCCACCCAUAAAUGUAGACAAGACAAUCAGUUUUUUUUUUUUUGCAAUUAUUAUUUGUUCCCAAUAGUCCAAAAACUACCGUUGACGAAGUCUUUUUCUUUUGUAUUUCUCAUUCACUAUAAAUAAAAAUUUCAA